UAAGAGGUUGUAACGUGUUUACAGCUCAAAGAUUUUGUUUUUUGCCUUUUAAAAAUGUAUAUACUUCCUAGCUGUCAAGUUGGUACUUCCUCCGUUCCAAAUUGUAGGUCGUUUUGACUUUUCUAGGUUCAUAGAUAUUAUCAUGCACCUAGACAUACACUAUAUCUAGAUGCAUAAUAAUAUCCAUGAACCUAAAAAAGCUAAAAUGACCUACAAUUUGGAACGGGGGAGUAUAAUCUUACCAAGUUACCAGUUGAUGUUUAGGUAUCGGAAACGAAAUAGAUCUGUAUGACAUAGUGCUAUAUAUUAGACGGGCACAUAUCAGCCAAAUGACAUGCAGAUCAACUGAUGUGGCCUAGAACAACUUAAAAUUGUUUGAGAUGUUCCUAAAUCAUGACAGUGAAAGUUAUAGGAUCAAAUCGUAAAACUCGGAUGCAUAUCACCUUGAUACGUGAUGUGCUGGAAUUUCAAUGAUAUGAUCGAUAUCUUUUGAUUUAAAUGUUGCCUGACUGCACUUACCCUCCAUUCAAUACUUUCCAAAUUUUGUGACAUUCCCUUUUUUGUUUUCACUCAGUUUUGUUUUCUUGCCAAAACUUAAUUCAUCGUGAACAAUGUGCUGGCCUAUAAUUACUGGUAAUGUUACAAUAAGAUUUCAGCAUGGCAAAACUUGGUUAAUGCUAAACAACCCCCUUUUUUAAACUGCUAUGUUGUAGAAAAGGUUUGUUGUUAUAUGUAAAAAAUAUUUCCUGUUACAAUUAGGUGGUUUCCAAUUAGUGAAGAAAAGGUUUGUUGUGCCUAAUAUAUGCAUCUGGAUAUCUUCUGGAAAGCCACCCUUGUACUGAAUGGAAAUUUUGAAGUUUAAAGGCUCGCAAGCCAUAUAGUUUACGGAAAUUUUGUAGCUUGACCAGCUUUAGCCUCUAUUUGCUUUCAUACACAAAAUUGGUACAAUUCCAUUUUUGCUAAGUUCAUUUUCUUGCUAAUCUUGCUAAAACAUGGAUAAUCUUUUGGAGAUGGUUUGUUGACCUGACCCUUCCAGUUCUGUCCAAAUUUUCACAUUACUGAAAUGGACUGUAAGCAGUUAUUGCUGCUAGUAUUACACUAAGGUUUUAGCAUUUAUACUUGGCCUUGGCUAGUAUUAAACAACCACUUAUUUUGAACUGCUUUUUUCAUGGUACUUUAUUUAGGAAGACAAUGAACUUAGGAGCAAAUGUAAAAAGAAAUCACACCUUUUUUUCUAGUAAUUUUGGCUUCAAUGGACUAAAACCUAUGUAAACCCUGAUUUAAUAAUUCGAAUUCUUAUUGGCAAACUUUAAGUGAUGAUUUUGUUCACCAACCAGACAACCAAUUUUCCUGGAACUUUAUUGGCAUGGUAACAACUUAGUCUGCAAUGUGCUGGAUUAAGUAUAAAAUUAUUGGCCAGAAACACAAAAGGAAUGUAGUUUGUGACAGACAAACCUUUUAAGUAUGAUGUUCUAAUACACAAAAGGAACAUAGUUUGUGACAGGCGGAGCUUUUUAUUUUUGUUUUUUCAUAUAUAUUUUAUUGGAAAGCUGCUACAUGUUUAUUUUCUUAUUCCAAAACUGUCCUUUUCCUAUUUCGGGAUUGCCUAUAGAUAAUGGUCAAAGCAUAAAAGGAGCCCACUUUUUAUAAGUUCUUUUUAAAACUUCUACAUGAUUAUUUUCCUGUUUCAAAAUUGUUUUCUGUUCUUUGUCUGUUGAACCAUGCUUGCUUGGUUUGAUUGUUCUACUUCCACCAUUCAAAUUAUAAGGUGUGCAUCUUGAAAGAUUUUGUUCAUAAGCAUAAGGCUUCUACUUUCCCAUGAAAAAUAUGUGUUGGUUCUUGUAUACCUCAAUAAUUACUGCCCUUACUUUGCAUUGUUUUUAUGCAUACAUUUAAGAUUUGCUCAGAGAUAAUAAUUAGUGGUAAU
Molecule: long non-coding RNA, 1927 nt
Filed under: Setaria italica (foxtail millet)
Lineage: Eukaryota; Viridiplantae; Streptophyta; Magnoliopsida; Poales; Poaceae
Description: long non-coding RNA (SITA_LNC000244)
Source: RNAcentral